UACAGAGGUCUCAAGCGUUGUUCGGAUUCAUUGGGCGUAAAGGGUGCGUAGGCGGCGCGGUAAGUCGGGUGUGAAAUCUUGGAGCUUAACUCCGAAACUGCAUUCGAUACUGCCGUGCUUGAGGACUGGAGAGGAGACUGGAAUUUACGGUGUAGCGGUGAAAUGCGUAGAUAUCGUAGGGAAGACCAGUGGCGAAGGCGGGUCUCUGGACAGUUCCUGACGCUGAGGCACGAAGGUCAGGGUAGCAAACGGG
RNAcentral lists this ribosomal RNA (253 nucleotides) under uncultured bacterium. Its description in RNAcentral is "partial 16S ribosomal RNA". It matches the Rfam family "Bacterial small subunit ribosomal RNA", at positions 524 to 776 of the family's 1533-position model. The record is from RNAcentral.